GACGAACGCUGGCGGCGUGCUUAAUACAUGCAAGUGGAGCGACGAACCAGGCUUCGGCCUGGGGCAGAGCCGCGAACGGGUGAGUAACACGUGGGUAACCUGCCUCGAUGACCGGGGACAACCCGGGGAAACCCGGGCUAAUACCGGAUGUGCUGUCCCCACAUCAGUGGAGACAGGAAAGGAAGCUUCGGCCUCCGCAUCGAGAUGGGCCCGCGGCCCAUUAGCUUGUUGGUGUGGUAACGGCUCACCAAGGCUGCGAUGGGUAGCUGGUCUGAGAGGACGAUCAGCCACACUGGGACUGAGACACGGCCCAGACUCCUACGGGAGGCAGCAGUAGGGAAUCUUGCGCAAUGCGCGAAAGCGUGACGCAGCAACGCCGCGUGGGGGAAGAAGGCCU
RNAcentral lists this ribosomal RNA (397 nucleotides) under uncultured bacterium. RNAcentral describes it as "bacterial SSU rRNA". It matches the Rfam family "Bacterial small subunit ribosomal RNA", at positions 28 to 417 of the family's 1533-position model. The record is from RNAcentral.